This is a long non-coding RNA of Mercenaria mercenaria, 485 nucleotides long. RefSeq lists it as uncharacterized. The transcript has 3 exons. NCBI's taxonomy places the organism in Eukaryota, Metazoa, Mollusca, Bivalvia, Venerida, Veneridae. The record is from RefSeq and is a predicted model, not a curated record.
UCAGUCUGGAAACCUUCAAAGACAUAUAUUCAAUCCCUUUCCCUUUAAACUUAUCUCAAUGUUGUCAUUCUCUUCUACAAAGUUUAGGUAUUGUUACUGCACCGGACACAUCACGGAAACUAUGCCUGACAGGACCAAUGACCACAAGAUGCUGUAACUGUUAGCAAACUUGAAAACUGACAAAGCUGCAGGAACAGAUAAGAAGCCACUUGUUCUUUAACAACUUCGAGUUGGAUUGCUUCAAAUGUUGAAGCAUGGCUGCAAGGAAUGUUGCACCUGUGAGAACCAACGGCUGCAACUAGUUGAUGAAAUUGAAAGAAACAUCACAAAACACCAAAAAAAAAAAAUGAUCCAGGUCUAUGGGUUUGUGUUACAUCUGCAUGUCUGUUAGUCAGUCAGUCUCAUUCUGGUCAAGUCAGUAAGUUUGCGAUACAUGCAUGGAUUCUCAGAUAACUUGGAACAGAUUUUGUCGUUACAGUGACAGA